UACGGAGGAUCCGAGCGUUAUCCGGAUUUACUGGGUUUAAAGGGUGCGUAGGUGGAACGACAAGUCAGUGGUGAAAACCUGCAGCUUAACUGCAGACCUGCCAUUGAUACUGUUGUUCUUGAGUGUAUUUGAUGUAAGUGGAAUGUGUCAUGUAGCGGUGAAAUGCUUAGAUAUGACACAGAACACCCAUUGCGAAGGCAGCUUACAAAACUACAACUGACACUGAGGCACGAAAGCGUGGGGAUCAAACAGG
RNAcentral lists this ribosomal RNA (253 nucleotides) under uncultured bacterium. RNAcentral describes it as "partial 16S ribosomal RNA". It matches the Rfam family "Bacterial small subunit ribosomal RNA", at positions 524 to 776 of the family's 1533-position model. The record is from RNAcentral.